AUUGAACGCUGGCGGCAGGCCUAACACAUGCAAGUCGAGCGGAUGAAGGGUGCUUGCUCCUGGAUUCAGCGGCGGACGGGUGAGUAAUGCCUAGCAAUCUGCCUGCUAGUGGGGGAUAACGUCCGGAAACGGGCGCUAAUACCUCAUACGACUUCUGGUAGCACGUGGGGGAUCUUCGGCACUUACGCUUUCAGAUGAGCCUAGGUCGGAUUAGCUAGUUGGUGGGGUACAGGCCUACCAAGGCGGCGAUCCGUAACUGGUCUGAGAGGAUGAUCAGUCACCCGGGAAAUAGGACGCGGGCCCGCAUCCUGCGGGAGGCAGCAGUGGGGAAUAUUCGACAGAGGGCGGAGGCCUGAACCAGCCAUGGCGCGUAAGUGAAGAAGGUCUUCGGAUUGUAAAGCACUUUGAGUUGGGAGGAAGAGCAGUAAGUUAAUACCGUGCUGUUUUGACGUUACCAACAGAAUAAGCACCGGCUAACUUCGUG
Molecule: ribosomal RNA, 484 nt
Filed under: uncultured bacterium
Lineage: Bacteria
Description: partial 16S ribosomal RNA
Rfam family: Bacterial small subunit ribosomal RNA
Source: RNAcentral